GUGCUAUACAUGCAAGUCGAGCGAACAGAUAAGGAGCUUGCUCCUUUGACGUUAGCGGCGGACGGGUGAGUAACACGUGGGUAACCUACCUAUAAGACUGGAAUAACUCCGGGAAACCGGGGCUAAUGCCGGAUAACAUAUAGAACCGCAUGGUUCUAUAGUGAAAGAUGGUUUUGCUAUCACUUAUAGAUGGACCCGCGCCGUAUUAGCUAGUUGGUAAGGUAAUGGCUUACCAAGGCGACGAUACGUAGCCGACCUGAGAGGGUGAUCGGCCACACUGGAACUGAGACACGGUCCAGACUCCUACGGGAGGCAGCAGUAGGGAAUCUUCCGCAAUGGGCGAAAGCCUGACGGAGCAACGCCGCGUGAGUGAUGAAGGGUUUCGGCUCGUAAAACUCUGUUAUUAGGGAAGAACAUAUGUGUAAGUAACUGUGCACAUCUUGACGGUACCUAAUCAGAAAGCCACGGCUAACUACGUGCCAGCAGCCGCGGUAAUACGUAGGUGGCAAGCGUUAUCCGGAAUUAUUGGGCGUAAAGCGCGCGUAGGCGGUUUCUUAAGUCUGAUGUGAAAGCCCACGGCUCAACCGUGGAGGGUCAUUGGAAACUGGGAAACUUGAGUGCAGAAGAGGAAAGUGGAAUUCCAUGUGUAGCGGUGAAAUGCGCAGAGAUAUGGAGGAACACCAGUGGCGAAGGCGACUUUCUGGUCUGUAACUGACGCUGAUGUGCGAAAGCG
Molecule: ribosomal RNA, 733 nt
Filed under: Staphylococcus sp. 1124(2011)
Lineage: Bacteria; Bacillati; Bacillota; Bacilli; Caryophanales; Staphylococcaceae
Description: bacterial SSU rRNA
Rfam family: Bacterial small subunit ribosomal RNA
Source: RNAcentral